Molecule: ribosomal RNA, 495 nt
Filed under: uncultured bacterium
Lineage: Bacteria
Description: bacterial SSU rRNA
Rfam family: Bacterial small subunit ribosomal RNA
Source: RNAcentral
CUGGCUCAGGAUGAACGCUGGCGGCGUGCUUAACACAUGCAAGUCGAACGGAGUAUGAGAAUGAAGUUUCGGAUGGAUUUUCAAUACUAGUGGCGGACGGGUGAGUAACGCGUGGGUAACCUGCCUCACACAGGGGGAUAACAGUUGGAAACGACUGUUAAUACCGCAUAAGACCACAGUACCGCAUGGUACAGGGGUAAAAACUCCGGUGGUGUGAGAUGGACCCGCGUCUGAUUAGUUAGUUGGCGGGGUAACGGCCCACCAAGACGACGAUCAGUAGCCGAUCUGAGAGGAUGACCGGCCACAUUGGGACUGAGACACGGCCCAAACUCCUACGGGAGGCAGCAGUGGGGAAUAUUGCACAAUGGGGGAAACCCUGAUGCAAGCGACGCCGCGUGAGUGAAGAAGUAUUUCGGUAUGUAAAGCUCUAUCAGCAGGGAAGAAAAUGACGGUACCUGAGUAAGAAGCCCCGGCUAACUACGUGCCAGCAGCAGC